UACGUAGGUGGCAAGCGUUAUCCGGAUUUAUUGGGUGUAAAGGGUGCGUAGACGGGUAUAUAAGUUAGUUGUGAAAUCCCUCGGCUCAACUGAGGAACUGCAACUAAAACUGUAAAUCUUGAGUGCGGGAGAGGAAAGUGGAAUUCCUAGUGUAGCGGUGAAAUGCGUAGAUAUUAGGAGGAACACCAGUGGCGAAGGCGACUUUCUGGACCGUAACUGACGUUGAGGCACGAAAGUGUGGGGAGCAAACAGG
RNAcentral lists this ribosomal RNA (253 nucleotides) under uncultured bacterium. Its description in RNAcentral is "partial 16S ribosomal RNA". It matches the Rfam family "Bacterial small subunit ribosomal RNA", at positions 524 to 776 of the family's 1533-position model. The record is from RNAcentral.